UAUUGCUAAACUGGUUCUUUAAUCUUAAUCUGCAUACUAAGUGGCUCAUAUCUUCUUUUUAAAUCAGUAGGCUCACUCCGAGGAGGGAGUAAUGAAACACCCUACAGUUCUGACACUACAGAAAAGAAAAAGAAAAUCAGGAGAUUGUUUCACUUUCUUUCUUCAGAACGAAACCCAGCAGAAAUGAAAGUGUGGGUGGAAGCCUUCAAAGUAAGACCCCCUGUUCCAGUUACGGAGAGAAGGGGUGUAGGGUCCCUUGGCUUGAGGAAGACAGAGGAGCCUACCAGUCACAUCUCUAUGUACAUGUGUGCAGGUUUGAAUCAAUCGAAGAACAGAGCUUUGGAGGUCUUCUAGUCAACCCCCCUUGUUCAAGCAGGACCCUAUACCCUUUGAGACAGAUGGCUGUCCAGUCUCUUCUUAAAAAACCCCAGUGAUGAAGCCCCUGCAACUUCUGAAGUAGCUGUUCCACUGGUGAGUUAUCCUCACUGGUAGGAAGUUUCUUCUAAAGUACUCGACUCUUUCUACAGCAUGGGCAAAACCAAGAAUUUUUGCAAUUCUUCAUCCUCAUCCUAGUGUUAUUCCCACAGGAGCAGGGUGAACUUUUCAGGUUAACGGACACCACCUCGCACGAUUAAACACAGCAUCUGGUUCUGUGCAAUUUUUCAUCUGCAUUUACUGUGCCUUGCUGUCUUUACUUAGGCCAUUUUUGCUACUGUCAGCAGUUAUUCCUCAGAGUGGAUCACUUUUUACCCACUGCCUUGGCACAUCUUAAAAUUUCUCCACUUCCCCACCCAAGAAUUGAUGGGAAAGUCCAAGACUGGAUGGAGUUAAUGUGAUCCUUAAAGGAACAGGUAAGUUCUUUAGCGUUUCUCAAUUCUGGCAGCUUGAAGACACGUGGAUUUCAACUCCUGGAUUUUCCAGAGUUGAAGUCCACACGUGUUCAGGUUGACAUGGUUGAGAAACACUGCUUUGAAGAACAAAAGGCAAUACAGGUAGUCCUCAAUUUACAAUGGACUGGAAUUUUGGUCGCUAAACAAUGCAGUUCAGUGAGUCGUGUGACUGCGCCAAAUUUUAUGACUUUUGCCAUGUUACACAUAUCACAAGAUCAUUAAGUGGAUCACAGGGUGAUCCAACUCCCCCAAACUGACUUUGCUUAUCAGAAGUCAGAAGGGAAGAUUACAAAUCAUGACCGUGUGAUGACAAAAUGCCGCAACUAUUGUAAAUUGAAAAAUUGAAAAAACAAUUGCUACCAACCUGCCUUCAAUCGAGGACCUGUAUACUGCAUGAGUCAAAAAGAGGGCUGUGAAAAUAUUUACAGACCCUUCACAUCCUGGACAUAAACUGUUGCAACUCCUACCCUCAAAACGAUGCUAUAGAGCACUGCACACCAGAACAACUAGACACAAGGAGAGUUUUUUCCCAAAAGCCAUCACUCUGCUAAACAAAUAAUUCCCUCAAAACUGUUCAACUAUUUGCAAAGUCUGCACUAUUACUGUUAAUCUUGUCAUCACUCUGUAUCACCCUCCCCUCCCACUUGUGACUAUAUGACUGUAACUUUGUCGCUUGUAUCCUUAUGAUUUAUACUGUUUCCUAGUAUGAUUUGAUUGCUUAUUGUACCCUAUGACUAUCAUUAAGCGUUGUACCUGAUGAUUCUUGACUGUUGAUGAAUGUAUCUUUUCUUUUAUGUAUACUGAGAGCAUUUGCACCAAGACAAAUUCCUUGUGGGUCCAACCACACAUGGCCAAUAAAGAAUUCUAUUCUAUUCUAAAGGUGAGCUGGUUGCCAAGUACCUGAAUUGUGAUCAUGUGCCUGGGAGUAGUGAUGGUUGUUAACUUCAAGAAUCGGUGUGGUAAGUCACUUUUUCCAAGGGUAUCAUAGCUUCAGAAUGUCAUUAAAGAGUUUUAAGCUGAGGACUAUCUAUAAAUGAGAUUCUGUAUGGACAUGGCAUUUUAGAAGAACAGAAACCCAUGGAACAGUAUAGCAAACAGCAUUGAUACAAACCAGGUUUAGUUGUGCUAUUUUACCUCGGGGCAUUUUCUCUAUUUUGCAUAGUUUUUCUUACUCUGAAAAGGAUUAGCGUGAUAGGUAUGUUGGUUUGCAUUUGGAAACGCCGUUUUCCAUACACUCUUCCCCUCCCCCCAUCAGUGGGGGAAUAUCACCAAAUUGUGAUUAUAAGGCUGAAAAACAAACGGUCCAACAGGUAGUCUCAAGAGUGUCAAAACGAACCUGUAAUGAAAGCUUUUCCGAUUUCCUGGCUGUGACAAAUGAAGAAAAUUAUAUCUGUAAUCUAGACAUAACAAUGUUUUAGGUUGUCUAUUUCAUAUUUUGUAUUUUGAUCUGUUGUGUUUUUUGAAAUGUAAGUGGGUAGAGUCUUUUCCCAUUUCCUUCUCAGCUGUUUUUGAAUACCAAGGAACUGUGUGACACACACAUAUGUCAGAAAGCUACAAAUCAUGGAUUGAGGUCACACAUCCGUAAUUUCAUCACAUUUGUGUUCCCGAGUUGUAAUCCUCUUGGCUGCCUCUGGGCACGGCUGCCAAAUUAUUCUCGUCACUUCCUGAAACAGAUUUCUGAGAGCUGUUUUUGUUUUUCUGUGCUAUAUUUAUUUUUUACAACCCCCAGUUUCUUCAGAAGAGUCUCCGAGUAUCCAAUAACCUUGGCUAAUCCUGAAUAAUGUUAAGUGGGGUUAAACCUGGUUAGAACUGAGGGGAAACCGACAUGAAUUCCCCAAAGUACUAGACUGGAAAGUUGGGGGGAGGGGAAAAUCCUUAAAAAGGUGAAUUAAUUCCACAUUUUAUAAAAAACAAUAUCAGUCUCUCCAUAAAACCACCAAGGAUCAAUCUUACAACUUUCCUUUCUUAAAAAAAAAGUUGUUUCACAACAAUACUCUUUAUUCAAAGUAACAGCCCUGACUCCAUUUAGCUUAUUGGUCACUUUUCAAAAGGGUGUGUAUGCCUGUGUACCUGUGUAUUUACACACACCCACACACAACAAAAUAAAUUACCAUCAUUUUUAUUUUCAAGACAGUCUCUCUGAAUAUUUAUCAAUUAUAUCUGUAAGUG
Naja naja (Indian cobra) is the source of this 3059-nucleotide long non-coding RNA. The record is from Ensembl. NCBI's taxonomy places the organism in Eukaryota, Metazoa, Chordata, Lepidosauria, Squamata, Elapidae.